UCCAGCAGCGUUUCUUUGUUAACAGUGCGCGUGCACUUUUGCUUGUGUGUGUGUGUGUGUGUGUGUUUGUGUGUGCGUGUCUGCCGUGCCGUCCUGGCGCCAACUACACGAGAAUACACACACAAAAAAAAACGCUCCACACGAUAGACGCGACAUACGCAUAGAGAGGGGCCUUUUUUCCCGUUCAUACUCACCCACCCUCCACGCCCACGCACACACGCGCACAGAAUCAGCUGAGCGCGUUUGUUUGUGUUGUUGCCGCGAAGUCUCUCUCUGUGCCGCGGUGGUUGUAUCGUCUUUUCCUCUCGGGCUUGUGUGUGUGUGUGUGUGUGUGUCAUAGCCAUGAUGGAGUACGCUGAUGCGUAUGUUAGUGGGGGUGGCCGCCUCCGACAUGGCGCGCAGGGAUCAACCACGGCAACCGGUGCUAGCCGGCCAUACCUUGAGCAGCGCACCGUUGCACCGGUGACUAGCGCGCUUGGUCAAGAGCUGGAUCGCCUUGUUGGUGGCACGCUCGCAGCGCAGGAGUACCGUGACCGACUGGAAGCGCUCACACGCAGUGUGCAGGCGAGCGACGAUAAGGUGCUGAACCUGACGCGCCUGGUGAAGCUGUCGCAGAGCAUUCAAGAGGAGAAGGAAGCGGACUUGCGGCGCCAGAACGACGAGCUGCGCGCGCGGCUCAAGCGACAGGAGCAGCUGACGGCCCAGCUGCAGCGGCAGCUGGAGGGUAUGCAGGGUGCUGUGGAUGCACAAGCGUUGCACCGUGUCGUGGAGCGCCUUGAGGGACAAAUGAGUGCGUGCAGAGGAAAGCAGGAGGAGCAAUGGGUGGCGGUGCAGCAACGCAUCGGAGAGCUGGAAGAGCGCUUGCAGCGGGCUAGCACCUGCACGGCGGAGCGCUGCGAGGAGCGGUUGAUGCAGCUGGACGAACGCCUGCAGAAAGUCACGCAGUCCACUGCGGACGCUACGAAUCAGUGGGCGAAGCGCAACUUUGUCCGCUUCAAGGAGCAGGUCGACUCGCUUCGUGCCGAUCUGGACGACGUUCGCGGCGGGCAGAAGGAGCUGAAAUCGACUGUGCAGAGCGCCAGCUGCCGUGCCGAAGUCGAGUACAAGAAGGUGCUCCUCCUCCUCCAACAAAAGACGAAGGAGGCCGAUGCGCUGACGUCGCUGGUGGAGAAGGAGCUGCAGCACUUGCAGAAGGUGGCGCACCGACACCAGAUUCUAGCAUCCAAGGAAAUCACGCCAGCCUUCGAGUUUGACGAGAAGCCGUAUGAUGCGCUCAAGUUCGCGGCGGGUGAAGGGAAACGUCGUGGUGCGGAGGCUGCAGCAGAGCGCAGGCGGAGGUGACGCCAGCGGUUGCGUGCUGCGAUCUGUAGAUUGGUUUUGAUUGCUUUGCACGCCUAGAUACGAGAGAGGGGGAGUUCUCUUCCAAAGAAAAAAAAGCACAGUCGGCUUCAUCAUUGCCGCUUGGCGCACGUGCAUGCAAGCCAUCAGCGCGGUGCCGCCUAGACCAGUGUCGCGCGUAGCACUGCACUCACGCACGUGGGUGCGGAACGACAUGACGCAGGUGCGCCAUGCAACCACGCAAAACUUCUGCUACUGCGCCCUCUUUUUUCACUCCCCACGCGGCAUUCCCGGCAGCCUUCCCGCCCGGCACCGCGGCCAAAAAAGAUUCGUGAGGGAGCAAGGGCCGACGGCGGCGACGGUUAAGACGACCCCGCGUCGAAACGCGACCGGCCAGCCGCCGCCGUGGACGUGGGGGCUGGGGAGGGGGGCCGGCGCGACCCCCACCACCAUCCCCCGUCCAACCCGGGCGCCGCCUUGGCCAUGAGUGGAGAAUUCUUGUAUUCAGAAGAAACCGUCCUCCUUAGCGGCCCACGCCCUCUCAAAAAACAAGGCGGGACUUCCUCGACCACGGGGUAGCCGCAAGAUGUUCUAAGAUUCCAACUGCCACACCCACGAAUUCCGACAGAACCAUUUUUCCCUCCACCUGACUUCUGAUCUGGACCUUUCCCAACUCGUGGUCAUCAUACCCAAG
Molecule: unclassified non-coding RNA, 2032 nt
Filed under: Leishmania donovani
Lineage: Eukaryota; Euglenozoa; Kinetoplastea; Trypanosomatida; Trypanosomatidae
Description: LdHU3.29.2810
Source: RNAcentral